AUCUAUAUCCAUACCACCCUGAAUGCUCCCAUACAGUCUCAGAAGCUAAGCAGGGUUUCAUCUGAUUAGAACAUGGAUAGGAGAAUGCAUUGCUACUCUGAAAGAGUUC
Ictidomys tridecemlineatus (thirteen-lined ground squirrel) is the source of this 109-nucleotide ribosomal RNA. The record is from Ensembl. Lineage: Eukaryota; Metazoa; Chordata; Mammalia; Rodentia; Sciuridae.